This 466-nucleotide ribosomal RNA is filed under the name uncultured bacterium. RNAcentral's name for it is "bacterial SSU rRNA". It matches the Rfam family "Bacterial small subunit ribosomal RNA", at positions 355 to 825 of the family's 1533-position model. The record is from RNAcentral.
UAGGGAAUAUUGGGCAAUGGAGGGAACUCUGACCCAGCCAUGCCGCGUGCAGGAUGAAGGCGUUAUGCGUUGUAAACUGCUUUUAUAUAGGAAGAAAUAGUCCUUGCGAGGAAAGUUGACGGUACUAUAUGAAUAAGCACCGGCUAACUCCGUGCCAGCAGCCGCGGUAAUACGGAGGGUGCAAGCGUUGUCCGGAUUUAUUGGGUUUAAAGGGUGCGUAGGCGGUUUAUUAAGUCAGUGGUGAAAGACGGUCGCUCAACGAUUGCAGUGCCAUUGAUACUGGUAGACUUGAGUAUGAUUGAGGUAGCUGGAAUGGAUAGUGUAGCGGUGAAAUGCAUAGAUAUUAUCCAGAACACCAAUUGCGUAGGCAAGUUACUAAGUCAUAACUGACGCUGAGGCACGAAAGUGUGGGUAUCAAACAGGAUUAGAUACCCAGGUAGUCCCUGAGCGGGCUGGCAAGGCGCAU